Molecule: ribosomal RNA, 515 nt
Filed under: uncultured Bacillota bacterium
Lineage: Bacteria; Bacillati; Bacillota
Description: bacterial SSU rRNA
Rfam family: Bacterial small subunit ribosomal RNA
Source: RNAcentral
ACGAACGCUGGCGGCGUGCCUAAUACAUGCAAGUCGAGCGAGCAAAUUUAACGGAAUACCUUCGGGUAGGAAGAUAAGUAAGCGAGCGGCGGAUGGGUGAGUAACACGUGGGGAACCUGCCCUAUAGUCUGGGAUACCAUUUGGAAACAGAUGCUAAUACCGGAUAAGAGCGAGAAGCGCAUGCUUCAAGUUUAAAAGGCGGCUUUUAAAGCUGUCGCUAAAGGAUGGCCCUGCGGUGCAUUAGCUAGUUGGUAAGGUAACGGCUUACCAAGGCAGUGAUGCAUAGCCGAGUUGAGAGACUGAACGGCCACAUUGGGACUGAGACACGGCCCAAACUCCUACGGGAGGCAGCAGUAGGGAAUCUUCCACAAUGGACGCAAGUCUGAUGGAGCAACGCCGCGUGAGUGAAGAAGGUUUUCGGAUCGUAAAGCUCUGUUGUUGGUGAAGAAGGACAGUAAGAGUAACUGCUUAUUGUUUGACGGUAAUCAACCAGAAAGUCACGGCUAACUACGUGC